RNAcentral lists this ribosomal RNA (253 nucleotides) under uncultured bacterium. RNAcentral describes it as "partial 16S ribosomal RNA". It matches the Rfam family "Bacterial small subunit ribosomal RNA", at positions 524 to 776 of the family's 1533-position model. The record is from RNAcentral.
UACGUAGGGGCCUAGCGUUGUCCGGAAUUAUUGGGCGUAAAGGGCGCGUAGGCGGCCUGUUAAGUCAGCCGUGAAAGCCCGGGGCUCAACCCCGGAGGGUCGGCUGAUACUGGCAGGCUAGAGUACGGAAGAGGUAGCUGGAAUUCCCGGUGUAGCGGUGAAAUGCGUAGAUAUCAGGAGGAACACCUGAGGCGAAGGCGGGCUACUGGGCCGAUACUGACGCUGAUGCGCGAAAGCCAGGGGAGCGAACAGG